AUCACCAAUAUUUACCUCAAAUUUUAUUUUAUUUUAGUUUAGUUUAGUUUUCUUUUAGCUUUAAAUGCAUGGGUGCUUUGCAUGUGUGUCUCUGUACUGUGUGCAUUUCUGAUGCCCAAGGAGACCAGAAGAGGGCCACAGAUCCACUGGAAGUGGAGUUGCAGUGGAAUGCCUCGGCUCACCCUUGGAAAAAGUUCCUGCAGAAAAAGCUGUAUGGAAGUAGGCAAAUCCUUUGCAGAUGAAAAGGAAACCCUGCCUUUCCUUCUCGGUUGGGAGAGCUCCAAACAACACAUGUGCUAAGGUACAAGCACCGUGGGAGCGCAAACCUCGUCUUAAUUUGCAGCUCCUGGAGAAAGGAGGCUGGAGGGCGAGCAGGGGCCUCUUCUCCUCAGUGUCAUUCAGGGAAGGCUCACUGGUGGGAGUGUGCAAGAGCCCCUCAGUGCCAGGCCACACUUACUAUCCAGUCCUCCCGGAGAAAGACUUUAUUAAAGAAAUCAAUAGGUGUGCUACCAGUGAGUGGUGGGGCGGUGGGAAUAUAUCCUGAAAAGAAGCUGCGUCUGCCUGGGAACCUACAACUCCUGGAAGGCGUUUCUGUGUCUGCAGAGACUGAUGGCCCGGUAGGAAUUUCAGUACUGUGAAGAGGCUGGAAUUUUGUUAAGUUCAGAGGGUAAUGACUCUCUGUUGGGCUAGUUUUAACCUUCUGGAACAGCUGCUCCUUGGCCCACUUCGUAUCUGACCUAACACCCACUCUGAGAGCUAAGAAUGUCAUCAGGUAUCAUCUUGGGGUUAUAAAACAGCUUCCCCAUCUUGCUGUCCCUCCCUCUGGUGCACCCACCCAUGUGUUUUAAACUUGCCUCAAUGCGUGACUGUCUUUGUUCUAUAAAUCUAUGAGAACCCUCUGAAACAGCUUCCACAUUGGAACAUGGAAUUUGGGUAACCGAAAUCUGUGUUCCACGCCAUGAUUACUCAAAAUGGUUCCAGAAUAAUCUAUCUCUUAUUCCUUUAAGAUGAGAGAUGUGGUCUGUCAGCAGCAGGAAGCGGGGUAGGUCUCCUCCUGAGGAAACAUUCUACUGAGUUUUGAGGGCUGACAGUUCUCUGCUGACAUGGAACCCUGCCCAUCUGUCACGGGGUUCGUGAGUCUCCUCUGAGAAGCCAUUUUUUUUUCCUGUCUGUACUUGAAAGAUUUCCCCACAGCCCAAUCUAUGGAAAUUCCUGCCAGUUAAACCUUAAAGCCUGUGUCUCCCCCACUGGUUUCUCAAAUCCCACCUAUUCCCAUCUCUUUGUAACUGUAACUGCUGUGGAAUGCUGAACACUUUCUCCCCACCCAACUCCUCCCACAAACCCUGCCUGGACAUGCCAUCCCCAAUCCCAGCACGUGGGCAGCUUUCUUUGGGAGAGAGUUUUAUGACCAUCUCCUCAGAAGACAGAAAACCAGGACCUGGGAAGAGGACAGAAGUUCCAGGACUCCCCCAGCUGUCUCCUUACCUAGGUCUCUCGUUCACACUGCACUGUGACAAGCAAGCUGUUCUUCAGAACUCGUCCCCUUUUCUCCCAGCCUCUCCUCCUGUCUUCGAGACAACAUCUCCUGCCAUCAGUGAGAAGAGACUUACUUCAGAGCUGUUCGAUUCUUCCUUGCUGAAUAUCUGCUUUCCAGUCCAAGAAAACAGCAAUGUCCAACCGCAGGAGGAACACGACUGUAUUGUACUUACAGGUUUAAGCUUCGACUGCCUUGCAUGGGUUUUUAUAAUCAGAUGGAUUUCUCUCCAUCUGAAUCAGUUAUCUCCUGCCGCACGUGGGGGUCAGAAAACAGAGCAGACCAGACCACAGAAAGAGCUGCCUGGUGCUGACUGCCCGGUGCUGAGCCGAUGUCUAUCAGCUGGCUGGAGGAUUCAUUUAUUCAUCCCCUACACACUUAAUUCAUUCCCUACAUUCAUUCACAUUUAUUCAUUCCCUGCACACUUAAUAAUAAUGUAACCUGAACUUCAGAUUAUACUAACUAGCAGACCGUUUUCAAUUAGACCAUGAGGCCUUUCAGAAAAACAUUGAUCCCAGCCUGCCGCUGUCUAUCUUGUGAUGUUGGCAAGCUCAGCUAGUGCCUGUUUGGCCUCGGAGUCUUCAUUGCAUCUGAUGAGUAGAGAGGGACGUUCAAAGCCACCGAUUGACCUUCUUCUGUGUUCAACAAAUGUAACAUGCACAGCCCUACAAGAGGUAGCGGGGAGCUCAAAGAUGGAGAAGCUGGGGCUUCUUAGGAGGAAUCCAUUUGCAUAACUUGCUCGACCUCGUAAGUUACGCAAAUGGAGGAAGAUUUGGAAACACCCCCACUAAAAAGAAUACCAAUAAACAGGAGGAAGUGGGGCAGGCCUCAUGGAGCAGAGCAGCUGUGCUGAGCUGACGUAGGAGUCGGAUCUCAGUGGGCCAACAGAGGGGCCAGUUCAGGCAGGGAACAUGAGGAGCCAUGGCACAGACUGGGACAUCCAAGAGGCUCAGGGAGCCUGGCAUGCUCAUUCGUGACGGCAGCUGAUGGAGCAAGCAGGGAGCAAGGGAGAUGGGCUCGAAAGGUUCUGUGAGGUCAGAGCAGAGAGGCCAAGAGCGAAGCAUGGUGAGGAGCUGGGCCAGGGAAAGUGACCUCACUGGCUAAGCUUGACUGAGCCCUGCCCCUCCUUAGACCGCCUGGGUGAGGGCCCAGAGCGGGGGCAAGUGGCAGCAACUGGCAGGGAGGGGGCUGGCAGCUCCGCCAAGCUUGUUUCUUCACCAGGAAACAAAGUUUCCUGUAACUCAGGCCCAUGAAUCAGCAUUUCCUCUGUCAAUAAUACCCAGCAAGAGAUACAACAGCUCAGAGCUUGGGGGAAUGGAAGAAAGGAAGGAAUAUUCCAUGACACCACAGCCUCUGCUUGCCUUUCCUUACUGAUAAGCUCCCAAAUAGCAUUCAGAUUUCAUAAGGUCCUUUUUCUCUGAGCAGUUCCCAGUCCCCAUGAAGACAAUCCCUGGCUUUCCUUGCCCCAUAAGGAGUCUCUGUUACCAAGAGGAGCCCGCUCUUCAAUUCCCCUCUUGGUGUGGGGCAGAACCAGAGGUGUUCUGACUUGGCAGUGAUUUGCAUAUGUGUGUGACUUGCCUUUGAAUCUUGGCACGUCUGUGUCAUGGUGCUCUUAAACUAGCUCAAUAAUCCCACGAGGUCCACUGGGAGUGCGCAAACUACUUCACUUCCCAAGACACCACAUCAAGACAAAAAGGGGAAAUGCUGUCUUGUCUUGUUUACAAGAAGCUAUGCCUGACCUGGAUCCUCAAAAUCUCCCACCCAGGAGCCUUUGCAAAGUCACAGGCACUGCAGAAAUAAGGGCAUCUAUAAAACACUUAAUAUGUUUAUCUCAAGUCUAGGUAAUAAUGGCAGUUGAACCAAUAAAAUAUUUAAUAGACUUAAUUUAUAGUAGUAAAAUAGUAUAUGUGUGUGUGUUUUACCUAUCACUAAAAAGAAUCAUAUUUGCUCUCUUACCACAUUUAUCCUGCCAGGCUCUGUCCUAGAUAUGCUCAGAAGUGCACAAAAACAGACACCGAGUCCUGCCCUCCAUCAAACUUGUGAUCUGGUUUGUGCAAGGCAGACACUGAGUAAGAGACAAGAGUAGACCAAGCUGAAGAGAUCCAUGCGCACCAUGUGUGGACCAGAGAGCACAGAGAAUUGGCCCAUUGCUAUAGGAACUGUCUACAAGGCCAGCAGAGGGAGACCCCAUCACUGAUGUCAGAUUCCAGACAGGUUCGUCUCAGCUGGGCCCCAGGACGCAGCAGAUUUCCCAGGCCCAUCUUUAUCUUCGGAGGACAGCCCAUAGCAAGAAUGAGGCAAGAGGCCCCAGGAGAAGGAGAGAGCAACUGACGAUGUUAGCUCUAUUUGCAAAGGCUCACUCCAUAAGCACAAGGGUUCAUGACCUUGCUUUGUACCAGACUCACCUCUGAGGGUGAGCAAUGUGGGCGUAGGGCUGAUGAGGAUAUGGUCUGAAGGACGUGAGAGAACAAUGUCUUCACACUAGAAGCCAAUGUUCCUUCACUUUUUGUUCCUACUCUUUAUUAAUCCCAUGGGUUUCGCAGGCAAGCUCAUAUUUAGUUCAACCCCAUACUGCCCAUCCCACCUCCCUCCUACCUUGAAGAAUUUUGUAAAAUAAAAAAAUGUUUGUGUAGUUUCUCCAAAUUUAGUCUCAAUGAGUGGUACAAUUCGGCUCCUGCAAGUCUUCCGUGAGUGUCUGCUUUGCCUCACAAUGUCCAGAGAUUAGAGCAGACAAACCCCAGAUCAGCAAUGGACAAUGGAUGGAGAAUUCCCUUGUCAUCAAGCAAGGAGUAAAGGAGAGAGACGCUGUCCUCCAGAGAGAGGCCUGAGAGCAUCCGAUCGGCCAGGAGAUAUGACCAUGAUGGAGAAUGAGGAAGGUAAAGCAGUUCUUUGGCUUUCGUUUCUCACUCAUGCAUGUCUACAGACAGCCUGGUCAUUCUGCCACCACCAUCACCAUUGGGGUCAACUCUGAACUUUUAUUUGAAAGCAGCCUUUUAUGUCAACAGGAUUGCUGUUGGAAAAAUUAUAUGGCCAUUCUGUACACCUUUUUACCUAGCGUUCCCAGAUGUUAGCUUUCUGUCAAACUCUACUACAAUAUAAUAUGGUGAUCAGUUAUCAUUGAUGUUAGAAUAGUGCUGCCCAGUGAACAUCCAUUGCCAAGGAAUCCUUCACUACUGCUUCAUAGGAUCCAUGUGCCAUUAUCAUUGGCUUCUCAGUCUGCCCCAAUUGUCAACCACAUUCAGAGGGUCCAGUUUGAGCCCAUGCCCAUUCAGUCCCAUCCAGCUGGCUUUGGUGAGCUCCCAAUAGAUCAGGCACACUGUCUCAGUGGGUGGACCAACCCCUCACGGUCCUGACUUCCUUGCUCAUCUUCUCCCUCCUUCUGCUCUUCAACUGGGCCUUGGGAGCUCAGUUCAGUGCUCCCAUGUGGGUCUCUGUCUCUAUCUCCAUCCGUCACCGGACAAAGAUUCUUUCUGGAUCCUCACAGCACAGGAACAGGGCCUCUUGCCUGGCUCAAAGCACCUCUCAGUCACCUGAAUAAAACAUUUUAAAAAAUUAAAAAGUCCAUUGUAAAGAGGAGAUCCAUCCAGAAUACUAAUCAGUAGCUGCUGAUUAUUGCUGGGUUAAAUCUUGUGAAUGAAUGCCCUUCAGUUUGUCCACCUACUGAAGGGCACCUAGGUUAUUUCCAACUUGGGGCUAUUAUGAAUUUCAUGGUGUUUUCUGGAGCUACUAUGAAUUUCCUGCUUAGGGUUUCGUCUGAGCACAGGUCUUCCUUUCUUGAGGAUAAAUACUCGACGUACACUUGUUUUGCAUAUGAAAGCUUGUUUCUUUUGGCUUCAUUUUAAGAUUUAUUUUACUGUUAAUUCUGUAUUUGUGUCUGUCUACAUGUGGGUAUAUGCACUUGGAUGCAGGUACAGCCAGAGCCCAGAGGCAUCUGAUCCCCUGAAGAUGGGUGCAAACCACCUGAUGUGGGUGCUGAGAACCAACGCAGGUCCUCUGUGAGAGCAGUCCACACUUUUAAACACCGAGCUGCUCUCCAGCCAGCGUC
Molecule: long non-coding RNA, 5579 nt
Organism: Alexandromys fortis (reed vole)
Lineage: Eukaryota; Metazoa; Chordata; Mammalia; Rodentia; Cricetidae
Exons: 4
Source: RefSeq, a predicted model, not a curated record